UUCCUUGUGGCUCAGUUGGUAAAGCAUCUGCCUGCAAUGCAGGAGACCCAGGUUCGAUCCCUAGAAUGGGAG
Molecule: transfer RNA, 72 nt
Filed under: Bos taurus (domestic cattle)
Lineage: Eukaryota; Metazoa; Chordata; Mammalia; Artiodactyla; Bovidae
Also listed under: 2 other names
Rfam family: tRNA
About the family: Transfer RNA (tRNA) molecules are approximately 80 nucleotides in length. Their secondary structure includes four short double-helical elements and three loops (D, anti-codon, and T loops).
Source: Rfam by way of RNAcentral